AUACGUAGGUGACAAGCGUUAUCCGGAUUUAUUGGGUUUAAAGGGUGCGUAGGCGGAUGAUUAAGCGUGAGGUGAAAUGCCACUGCUCAACAGUGGAACUGCCUCGCGAACUGGUUGUCUUGAAUGCUCCUGCCGUGGGAGGAAUGUGUGGUGUAGCGGUGAAAUGCAUAGAGAUCACACAGAACACCGAUUGCGAAGGCAUCUCACGAAGGGGUGAUUGACGCUGUGGCACGAAAGCGUGGGGAUCAAACAGGAUUAGAUACCCUGGUAGUCCACGCAGUAAACGAUGAUAACUAACCGCUGGGUCGUAGUGAUUCAGUGGCCAAGCGAAAGCGAUAAGUUAUCCACCUGGGGAGUACGACCGCAAGGUUGAAACUCAAAUGAAUUGACGGGG
RNAcentral lists this ribosomal RNA (394 nucleotides) under uncultured bacterium. RNAcentral's name for it is "partial 16S ribosomal RNA". It matches the Rfam family "Bacterial small subunit ribosomal RNA", at positions 523 to 918 of the family's 1533-position model. The record is from RNAcentral.